Long non-coding RNA from Anolis carolinensis (green anole), 5847 nucleotides. RefSeq lists it as uncharacterized. The record is from RefSeq and is a predicted model, not a curated record. Lineage: Eukaryota; Metazoa; Chordata; Lepidosauria; Squamata; Anolidae. The transcript has 5 exons.
GUCGAGGGACAACCCAACUUCAAAAGCAAGUUACAUCUUUCCAAGAGUCUUACUUAAACUAGAGAAACACCCUCUCAUGCUAUGAGAUAUUAACUGCCUGUGUUCCCACUGUACCAUCAGGAACGCUAGAUGUGAAGGGAAAUCUUUUAGCUUUCAAACUGUUUUUAAACUUGAACACUUUAGAUCCAUCUGUAUUCUCUGAAGUGAUACAGGCCAAUGAUAGGUAAGUACCUCCUCAGCUAUCCUUAGCCUACAUCACUUCAGAGAAUACAGAUGGGGAAAUCACAUGAAGUGUAUGCUCCCUCUAUAUAGGAGAUCCAUGAGUUAGAGGUAAAGAUUCUCAGCUUCUUAACAUCCCAUUUCUUUAUGCAGAGAGUGUUUUUGAGGCUCAAGGGAGGCAUUCAAUCGUAUAAUUACCUGACAGCCUUCUGAAGUGGUACAGUUCAAGGAAGGCUGUGCAAUGUAAUUUUUCUGAAUGUAUGGAUUGGCUAGUAGGAUUACCCAGUCCUACCUGAAACUCUGGCAGGGCAUUUAGAAAUUAUCUGACAAGAAGACACAAGGUUGCCCUUAAAACAUAUUUAUUUUGGGAUUUGUCCCUUUACUUUAGGGGUUUAUAUUGUAGUUUAUUGAAGUAGCAGCUUAGUUUAAUGCCAGACUUUGAGGAGUAAAGUUAGGCAAACUGCAUUGAGAAAUGUAAUUGUGGUUGUUUGAGUGGUUUGGAUGCUGUGGGGGUGUAUGUGAAAAUACAGCAAAAAGAGAUAUAUUAAAAUUUGGGGGAUCAAGGGGACUCUAGAGAUGGUUAUGGGGCACAAAAUAGGACCCAAGCAGUACUUUCCCCACCCCUGAGCUAGAUGAAUCAUUAGUUUGGGUGCAUCUACACUGCAGAAUAAUGCAAUCUGACACCAUUCUAACUGCCAAGAUUUGAUGCUGGGAUUUGUAAUUUGGUGAGGCACCAGCACUCUUUGGCAGAAAGGGCUAAAGAUGUAAAAUGACAAAUCUUGUUAUCUCAUAACAUUGAUCCAUAGCACUUAAAGUGGUACCUAACUGCAUUAAUUCUACAAUGUAGAUGUUGCGUUUGAUUCAUGAUAAGGCAGCUUCAUAUGAAGGCCAACCAAGCAGGGUACGGGGGAGUGUAGCAUCUAUUCUGUGUGUGCUGUUGAAUUGAGUGCACUGACAUAGAUGGUUGGUGUAGUUUUAACUUAGAGAUUUGCAGGGUGUAGGCACAAGCCUCUGUUGGCUGAACUGCCUUUAUGUUGGCAUCACACUCUUAGCUGGCUGUUCUCAUAGAUCAGCUGAGAGAAAGCUCUGCCAGCACAACUGCUCCACCCACUGAGAUCAGUAAACAAAAGAGCCAAAAAUGGGGUCGAGAAGGGAUGGAGCAAAGGAAGGAACCAUGUUAUGCCAAUUCCAAGCCUCCCGUAGCUUGAGGACACAGUGCUGGCAGAAAAUUAUGCUGGGGCGGUCAUUUCCGAGAACACGAGGCUGUGAGGCCUUUGGAUUCAAGACAGCAUUGGCUGGGCAAGUGUUUGUUAAGCCAACCCUCCAUCAUCUUGACUUUUUCUUCAUGUGCAUGAUUCUACAUCACAUUGCAAGAUGAACAUACAGAAGGCUCCACUCUGAAGACACCCCCCAUUCCCAUAGGAUGCUGGAUUCCAUUUUUGGGACAAAGUUCUUGUAAUCCCUCGGCUGGCUUGAAGGUGAGUCAGUUGCUGCAAACUGAGUCCAAAGUGGAAAAGUAGUUUGCAUUCAAUGAACCAGGAGGAGAGAGAGAAGGAGACAGAAUACUGCACUUCCCAGCAGCCCCAGGUCAAGGCAACCUGUCUAAUAGCUUUUCCCCUCUGAUGCUGUAUGUUCCAGGUUUCAUCUGCAAAAACUUAGAAGGUUUCGAUAGAAGGACAGCAGACUUCCAAAAGGACGCAUUCUUCUCUUGGACAAGUAUUAAUAUUACAGAAAAGGUUGAUGCGAUGCUGCUGAAAAACAGAGUAAUGAGCAGAAGCCAGGGCUGCCUGGCUACAAAAGACUUCAUUCUCUAAUUGUCAAAAAGCAUUAAACAUCAAGUAUUUAUUCUGUGGCAGAAGAAGAGGGAAGAGACAUCAGUGCCUCCCUCACCAGAGGUUGUCUCUAAUUGUCAUGCAUAGAUUGCAACAGAGGUUAUAGAGAGAAAUUUGUUUGCAUUUAUUAAUCAAAAGGAGUCAAAGGCGCAGAAAGAUAUCAUCAAGGCUCCCUUGUGCAAGGGGAGGCUGACAACUAAAAUUUCUGAUGAAGUGUUUGCAGAAUGUUUGCAAUCUGUUCAAAGCCUUUUUACUUCACAGGUGCAAACCUUUCUAUCUGUUACAUCAAAGAAACAAUUGAAAAUUAAACACAGUAAACAUUGCUGUACAGGUUUUAAUCUUCCAUUUUGAAAGGACAAUGGGAGGGAGCGAAUUCAUUUCAAAGCAGCAGCCCCGGUUCUUUCAAUAUUCAUUUGAGCACAUUAGCAUUUCAUUAGUUUGGGUUUUAAAAUAGCAAUAUUUGGAUUUAGCCCAAUCUCUGCCUGCCCACUUUUGUUUUAUGAAAGGGAAAAAAAAUAAGAAUAGGAGUUGAACUUAGACUCCUAGGGAUGCCAUUUGCACCAAAGCAGCCAUUCACCGAUAAUUAUCUAUUAUUUUGCUCUGUAUAGUAGAUGAGAGCUAAUGCAUAGUCCUUUGAAGGAACGGUACACAGGACAAAAUAGAUGUAAGAAAAUUGUGCUUUUCCUGUGACGCAGGAAAAUAUAACAAGAACAAAGAUCCCUUCUCUGAAUAUUAUUACUAAUUUUUAGUACAAUCCUAUGUUGUCUUGAUCAGUCUACUCAGAAGUAAGCCCACUGAAUAUACUGGAAUUUAUUCCUCAUAUGUGUUAAAUACGUAGUACUCUUUUCUCUGUCAUUUCUAAAUCUAGUUGGAUGCCUUUUCUUCUCUUUUGCCUCAACCUUCUCAUUUCUCUUCUAUUAGAGGUUGGACUUUUUCAUGGCUAUUUUGUCUCUCUUACUAAAUGCAAUGAAUGAGUCAUGGGAUAUAUCUUUUCUGAGUAUGGUAUCUAUUUUGUUCCAACUUUUCCUAAGUGUAAUAAAGCCAUUUCCUCCCAUCCACUUUCAAUGGGUAGCUGUUUGAACAGAUAAUUCAACAAUCCCAUCAUCAACAUUCCCUAGAGCAUUUCUGAGCUGGCUCCUAAUAACAUCCUCUCCUUAGGUAUAUUAAUUUUCUAUAUCCUGCACAGAAGAUUGAACAGUUCUUCAGCAACAUCCAUACAAGGGUGCUGACAUUAACAGAAAUAGAAAUUUUCUUUGUGCUUUUAUCAAUGUACUCUAGAGUAUAUAUUUGCCCGUGCAGGCUUGAAUAGCCUAGAUGUUGGGAAAAGGUUUAAUAUACAGUUGUUUGGGUGCUGAGCUCAGUUUGUAUCGACACAAUAUUAGUUUGGAAACAAUGAGCCCUUUCAGAUGUUUUGGCUGCCUUUCAGCUAAUGCAUAUAAUACAGAUGUUUGUUGGGAAAAAUGAAAUGUGUGGCAAAUGCAUGCAAGCUGUCACUCAGAAAGGGGAGAAAGAGAGAAUAAAGAAGGAAAAAGCGGAAAGAGUAUAGCAUAUGCUGCCACAAUCUGCAAGGAUAACUUAAUAGUAAGUGUUCCUCCCCUAGAAAAUGCAGCUAUUUCCAAGAGUUACAAACCUACAAAUUGAUUAGGAAUGACUGGGAGAAAGCAACUGGUCAAACAUUGAAGGUCAGAUCCGACGAUGUACUACAGAUUGUGAUGGCCAACAGCAGCAAGCAGAGGUCGGGUCGGGUAAAUGGGAUGACGAAAAGGAUGGCUUUUAUUUUAUUUUCAUUCUUCCUUUUCCCAAUAUGGAAAGGCAACCCAAGGCAACUGAGAAUACAGAUUUUAAAAAUAGGUAAAACAGAAUUUAGCCUUUAAAGUCACAUAUGAUUCAGUCUUAUAGAAUCAUAGAAUAGUAGAGUUGGAAGAGACCUCAUGGGCCACCCAGUCCAACCCCCUGCCAAGAAGCAGGAAAUCGCAUUCAAAGCACCCCCGACAGAUGGCCAUCCAGCCUCUGCUUAAAAGCCUCCAAAGAAGGAGCCUUCACCACUGUCCGGGGGAGAGAGUUCCACUGCCGAACAGCCCUCACAGUGAGGAAGUUCUUCCUGAUGUUCAGGUGGAAUCUCCUUUCCUGUAGUUUGAAGCCAUUGUUCUGCGUCCUAGUCUGCAGGGCAGCAGAAAACAAUCUUGCUCCCUCCUCCCUAUGACUUCCCCUCACAUAUUUGUACAUGGCUAUCAUGUCUCCUCUCAGCCUUCUCUUCUGCAGGAUAAACAUGCCCAGUUCUUUAAGCCUCUCCUCAUAGGGCUUGUUCUCCAGACCUUUGAUCAUUUUAGUUGCCCUCCUCUGGACACUUUCCAGCUUGUCAACAUCUCCCUUCAACUGCGGUGCCCACUAUCUUGUGUCCACUAUCUGCAUUCUUGAGUUGCUGCUACAGCUUGGUGGAAAGAAGAGAGGGAGGGUUCUAAAGUCAGACUUGACCAUGGUGAUCUACACUCUCAUUACAGCCAGGAUCAUCAUCAUCUUCAUUCGCACAGUCAUCUCCAACUCUUCAAGACCUCAUGAGCUCCCUGUUGGCCGUCACCGUCCCCAGUUCCUUCAAGGUCAAGCCAGUCACUUCAAGGAUACCAUUCAUCCAUCUCGCCCUUGGUUGGCCCCUCUUCCUUUUUCCUUCUAUUUUCCCCAGCAUCAUGAUCUUUUCCAAGCUUUCCUGUCUUCUCAUGAUUUGGCCAAAAUACUUCAUUUUUGCCUCUAAUAUCCUUCCCUCCAGUGAGCAGCCGGGCAUUAUUUCCUGGAGGAUGGACUGGUUGGAUACAGGAUAGACUACUACAACACACUCUGCAUGGGGUUGCCUUUGAAGACUGUCUGGAAGUUACAAAUAGUCCAACGAGAGGCAGCCAGGUUAAUAACUGGGGCGGCACAUAGGGAGCACACAACUCCCAUGUUACAUCAGCUCCACUGGCUGUCUGUUUGCUACCGGUCACAAUUCAAAGUGCUGGCUUUGGCCUAUAAAGGCCUAAAUGGUCCCAGCCCAGUUUACCUGUCCGAACGCAUCUCCCUUUACAAACCACUGUAAAGACUAAGAUCUUCCGGGGAGCCCUCCUCUUUGUUCCGCCACCGUCACAGGCAUGUUUGGCGGGAACGAAAGACAGGGCCUUCUCAGUGAUGACCCCCGGCUAUGGAACUCCCUCACUGGCGAGAUUAGAUCAGCCUCCUCCCUCCUGUCCUUCAGAAAGACAGUAAAGACCUGGUUGUGGUACCAAGCCUUUGGGUGGUGCAAUGUGGAUAUAAUAGGAAACCUACUUUGCUGACCGGAGCCAGCAUGGUGUUCUGAGUUGGUUUAAACAACUUUUUUUCGUGUCAGGAACGACUUGAGAAACUGCAAGUUGCUUCUGGUGUGAGAGAAUUGGCCAGCCCCCCCCCCCCCGGAUGUUUUGAUGUUUUUACCAUCCUUGUAGGAGGCUUCUCUCAUAUCCCCACAUGGAGCUGGAGCUGAUAGAGGGAGCUCAUCAGCGCUCUCCCCGGGUUGGAUUCGAACCUGGCAGCCUUCAGAUCAGCAACCCAAUCUUCAAGUCACAAGGCUUUAACCCACUGCGCCAUCGGGGGCUCCAUUUAAACAGCUGAUUUUAAAGUAGACAUAAUUGAUUUUAAUGUUUGUGUAUAUUUAUAAUUAUUUUAUUUCCCAGCAUGGAAUGCUUGCCGUAUAUUAUGUUGUGCUCCACCCUGAGUACUCUUUGGGGUGAGAAGGGUGGAAUAUAAAUGUUUUAAAUAAACAAACAAAUAAAUAAAAAGUAAUAUUUUA